AGAGUUUGAUCCUGGGCUCAGAACGUACGCUGGCGGCACGCCUAACACAUGCAACGUCGAACGAAGUAGCAAUACUUAGUGGCAGACGGGUGAGUAACAUGUAGGUAUCUGCCCUUUGGCCUGGAAUAACACGAGGAAACUUGUGCUAAUACCGGAUAAGUCUUUACGGAGAAAGCUUUAUGCACCAUUGGAUGAGCCUGCACUUGAUUAGUUUGUUGGUGGGGUAACUGGCCUACCAAGACUGUGAUCAAUAGCUGAUUUGAGAGGAUGAUCAGCCACAUUGGGACUGAGCACACGGCCCAAACUCCUACGGGAGGCAGCAGUGGGGAAUCUUGCACAAUGGAGGAAACUCUGAUGCACGCGAUGCCGCGUGAGUGAACGAAGGCCUUUGGGUUGUAAAGCUCUUUCGUCGGGGAAGAAAAUGACUGUACCCGAAUAAGAAGGUCCGGCUAACUUCGUGCCAGCAGCCGCGGUAAUACGAAGGGACCUAGUCGUAGUUCGGAAUUACUGGGCUUAAAGAGUUCGUAGUGGUUGAAAAAGUUGGUGGUGAAAUCCCAUGGACGCCUUAACUCUGGAACUGCCAUCANAAGACUUUUCAGCUAGAAGUAUGAUAUGAGGAAAGCAGUAAUUUCUAGUGGUAGAGGUGGAAAUUCGGUACAUCUUAGAACAGAAUACCAAUUGCGAAGGCAGCAUUUCUGGUAUCAUUACUGACAGCUGAGAGAACGAAAGCAUGGUGUACUCGACAGAGGAUUAUGAUAGCCCUACGUAGUCCAUGCCGUAUGCCGACUGCUGUGUUACGACGUUGCGCAAAUUUACUUUUCCUGUGUCGCAUGCGAAAGCGAUAAGACUACGCCGCCUGGGGAGUACGACCGC
RNAcentral lists this ribosomal RNA (873 nucleotides) under uncultured Alphaproteobacteria bacterium. RNAcentral describes it as "bacterial SSU rRNA". It matches the Rfam family "Bacterial small subunit ribosomal RNA", at positions 8 to 889 of the family's 1533-position model. Lineage: Bacteria; Pseudomonadati; Pseudomonadota; Alphaproteobacteria. The record is from RNAcentral.